This 1829-nucleotide long non-coding RNA is filed under the name Pan troglodytes (chimpanzee). Its description in RNAcentral is "long non-coding RNA NONPTRT007276". The record is from RNAcentral. Lineage: Eukaryota; Metazoa; Chordata; Mammalia; Primates; Hominidae.
GGUUUUUAUUCCAAGUGUAGUGGGAAGCCAAGAAGAGUUUGAAAGAGCAGAGUCAUGCAAUCUGGUUUAUCUUUCUAAAAGAUCGCACUUGCUGCUCUAUGAAGAAGGACUUGGGGAGAAACAAGUAGAAUCAGGGAGAACAGUCCGAGGGCGAUUAAAAUAAUCCAGACGGAAGAUGACUACGUUUUAGUCUGAAGUGAUGGGAGUGGUGAUGGAGAAAAGCAGACGUCUGCGAGUUUUAUUUUGGAGAUAGAGCCACAGGACUUGCAGCAAGCGCUCUGGAGGUGGGAAGGAGGACAAGGAGGAGAGAGGAGCAACCAGAAGCUAUGGUGGCUGUUAGUCUGCAGAAAAUAAUUCAAGACAGAUAUUUGCAAGCUGCAUGGAGCACACGCCCUGUACAUCCAGAUGUCAAUGUGAUCUUUCACAAGCACACUGAAAAAUUCACACCGUGGAAAAGAACUAAAGUCCCAUCCUAAUUCAUCAGAGCCUUCUGUUUCCUGUAACAAAGAAGAACUCACAAGAUCAGGAUUCCAAGCUUCUUGUAUAGAAGAUACCUAAAAAGUGUUUGCUGAAUGAAGAAAUAAAGGAUUGCUCAGGCACCACUGGCACUUUAAGUUGUUCAGCAAGUACUCGUGCCUCUUAAGAACUGGCCAAGGGCCGGGCGUGGUGGUUCAUGCCUGUAAUCCCAGCAUUUUGGGACGCCGAGGCGGGCAGAUCACGAAGUCAGGAGUUCGAGACCAGCGUGGCCAACAUGGUGAAACCCCAUCUCUACUAAAAAUACAAAAACUUAGCCGGGCGUGGUGGCCUGCGCCUGUAGUCCCAGCUACUCGGGAGGCUGAGGCACAAGAAUUGCUUGAACCCACGAGGAGGAGCUUGCAGUAGGCCGAGAUCGCGCCAUUGCACUCCAGCCUGGGCAACAGGGCAAGACUCUGUCCUGAAAGAAAAAAAAAAAAAGAACUGGCCGAGGUCUUAGCUGGAGCACUCUCUCUACCCUGCAUGUUUGACUGCAUUUCUGUCCAUUUUCAAUCCGUUUUGGUUAUACGUUUUUUCACACAGGUCUGUUGAACUUAGAACACCGAAGGCCUGUGUGUUUUCAUGGCUCACAGCUCAUGUUGUGUUGACCUGCCCCACUGUGGUUAAUGUUUAGCCCCUAAACCACCAGCUGAAUGUCCUUAAAUCUGAAAGAAUAAUGAACACACGCCAACAGAGAGCUGAGGUUUAUUUGGUGACUUGCGCCACAUACUUUGCGAAUAUCAUCUCAGUCAUCCUUUUAGCAUCUCUCUCAGGCACAUACUCUCCUCUGUGGUGGCUCAUGCCAGUAAUCCCAGCCCUUUGGGAGGCCGAGGCGGGCAGAUCACUUGAGGCAAGGAGUUCGAGACCAGCCUGGCCAACACGGUGAAACCCCAUCUCUACUAAAAAUACAAAAAUUAGCCGGCUAUGGUGGCAUGCGCCUGUAAUCCCAGCUGCUCGAGAGGCUGAGGCAGGAGAAUCAUUUGAACCCAGGAGGCAGAGGUUGCAGUGAGCCUAGACUGCACCAUUGCACUUCAGCCUGGGUGAGACCCCAUCUCAAAUAAAUAAAUAAAUAAAUAAAUAAGGGAAAAGCUAUCACACAGCAGAAUACAGUCCAAGGGUAACUACUGAAGGGCCAGAUCAAGGAGCAAAGUCUAUCAUGUAUCAACCUUUACAGUGUCCCCAAGGGUCAGCUGUGUAUAGGGGCCCACACAGAAUUUGGAAUCCAAAUACAUCUCUGGAUCCCCAGGCCUGUGUUUGACUCGCCAGGUAGUAAUGAGAUGUCUCCAUUUUCUGCAGGCUGAAUGAUUCCCUCAGAG